RNAcentral lists this ribosomal RNA (301 nucleotides) under uncultured bacterium. RNAcentral describes it as "partial 16S ribosomal RNA". It matches the Rfam family "Bacterial small subunit ribosomal RNA", at positions 509 to 809 of the family's 1533-position model. The record is from RNAcentral.
CAGUCGCCGCGGGAAUACGUAGGUGGCAAGCGUUGUCCGGAUUUAUUGGGCGUAAAGCGAGCGCAGGCGGUUUCUUAAGUCUGAUGUGAAAGCCCCCGGCUCAACCGGGGAGGGUCAUUGGAAACUGGGAGACUUGAGUGCAGAAGAGGAGAGUGGAAUUCCAUGUGUAGCGGUGAAAUGCGUAGAUAUAUGGAGGAACACCAGUGGCGAAGGCGGCUCUCUGGUCUGUAACUGACGCUGAGGCUCGAAAGCGUGGGGAGCGAACAGGAUUAGAUACCCGGGUAGUCCCUGUCUCUUAUAA